RNAcentral lists this long non-coding RNA (2014 nucleotides) under Homo sapiens (human). Its description in RNAcentral is "HSALNT0181266". Lineage: Eukaryota; Metazoa; Chordata; Mammalia; Primates; Hominidae. The record is from RNAcentral.
UCGGCCGGUCAGCGCACGCGCGUAGGUGUGCCUGCCAGGAUGCCCUCCCCGGCGACGCGCUCAGGCCCGGAUUCCGCGGCGCGAGAGUGAGCGCUGGCGGGGGCGGUGGGAUGCUCCAAGUCGGCGUGAAAGAGGCGAGAGUGGGCGAGCACGGGCGGCCGGACCAGGAGCACUCCCGGUGACCACCUAGUCUCCAUUUUAUUUCCUCGGAAACUGCCGGGCAGGCGGGGGACCGGCCGCAGGGCGGGGUUUCUCUUGGCGAAUUGUUUCCUGCCAGCGGCAGCCGAGCUGCGUUCACGCGCUGAUCGGAGAAUGAGUGACAGUCCCAGCCUCAGCACACUCGCAACUCGGAGAUCCUUGCGCUGGCCCGGAGAGACAUACAACACCCUUCAGCAGAUCCCCUGGGAAGGAGGUGGGAAGAGACUUAAGUUAGAAGAAAACUCCGAUGUUUGGAAGAGAUUUCCAGAAAUAACCCGAAGAAAAUGUUUUCCUGUUUAUAAAUUCUGAAAUCUGUGGUCUCUUUAUUAAAAUAGCCAGGCUUUUAUAUAGGUAUUAUGAUAUAGAAGCGUCAUUAAAUAAUAUUUUCUUACAUGGGGACGUGACCUUAAUUCUUAAAGAUAUUAAUGUAUAAUAUUACUGAGGUACCAACACAAUAGGCUUUAAUUAAAAUUCCACCCGUGUUUUCAAAAGUAGGGGGUGGAGAAAGCGGGGUGAAAAGAAUCAUGUCUCAGCACCUGAAGGCUUGGGUAUGUAAGGAACUAAUGUGAGAAAGGUGUUCUAGAUGUCAGGUUAACCCAUUAGCCUAGAACACUGAAACCCUCUAACAGAGGAAGUCUGCAUAAGUUCAAAGGCAUUAAAGCACUAAUGUUACCGGGUACUCCGUUUUUCUUCAAAGGUCGGCCUCCCCACUCCUGUAGCAGGUUUUUUGUUUUGUUUUGUUUUGUUUUGUUUCUGUUUUGUUUUUUUGAGAUGGAGCCUCGCUCUGUCGCCCAGGCUGCAGUGCAGUGGCGCCAUCUCUGCUCACUGCAACCUCUGCUCCCGGUUCAAGCGAUUCUGCUGCCUCAGCCUCCUGAGUAGCUGGGAUUACAGGCGCGCGCCACCACGCCCAGCUAAUUUUUGUAUUUUUAGUAGAGACGGUGUUUCACCAUGUUGGUCAGGCCGGUCUCGAACUCCUGACCUCGUGAUCUGCCCACCUCAGCCUCCCAAAGUGCUAGGAUUACAGCCGUGAGCUACCGCACCCAGCCGCUGUAGCAGUUUUUAAAAGUCCAUCCUCUACUGUCAGGACAUCCAUCCUUAUUGGACAGGCCCCAUCUCUUCCCCACUUUCCUCCUCUAUAAUAGACCAAGUGGGCCACACCAGUACAGUGUAAUUAGCUUGGACCCCUGAAAAGUAUUUCUUCCCCCAAGUAAAUCUUCCACAACGUUUACUUUGGGCUAUUUCUCUCAUUCCAAGUAUAAACAAUUCAAAAGUACAGAAAAGUAGAAAGAACUAAAAAUAACCCCAAAUCCCACAGAUUCCAGAGAUACUCAUAGAUUUUGUCUUCUGUAUGUGCAUAUGAUUUUUAUAAUUGACAUAUUAUAGUAGCAAUUUGAAUCCUGCUGAUUUUGCCUAACAUCAGUAUAAGCAUUUAUUCCUCUGGAUCAUUAAAAAGCUUUUCUAGAUAUUUUUAUAGCUAUGUAAUAUUUCUUCAUAUGGAUGAUUUUGCAAUGGUUUCCCCAUUUUUGCAUAUUUAUAUUGUUUGUGGAGUUUGAUAAUAUAAAUAAGGCUUUUUUGAACAUCUUUCAACAAAUAUUUGCGGAGCAACCACUGGGUUUAGCCCUGUGCUAGAUGCAGUGAAUUAUAUACGUCUUUUUUUAAUGGUUGCUGUAUUUAAGUGUCUUUGAUUUCAGACUUCUGCUUCUAACAUCUAAAAUCACCACAUUAAAUAUUACAGAUUUAUGUAAAUGAAUGUUAUCAGACUCUUUCCUUAAAAAAGAGGUUUUGAUGGUGAGGAAAGAUAGAGAGAACAGGCAGG